Molecule: ribosomal RNA, 460 nt
Filed under: uncultured bacterium
Lineage: Bacteria
Description: partial 16S ribosomal RNA
Rfam family: Bacterial small subunit ribosomal RNA
Source: RNAcentral
CCUACGGGUGGCAGCAGUGAGGAAUAUUGGUCAAUGGCCGUAAGGCUGAACCAGCAAAGUCGCGUGAAGGAAGAAGGAUCUAUGGUUGGUAAGCUCCGUUUAUGGGGGAAUAAAGGUAUCAGCGGAUAUAGAUUUGCAUGUAUCCUAUGAAUAGACAUCGGCUAAGUCCGUGACAGCAGCCGAGGUAAUACGGAGGAUGCGAGCGUUGUCCGGAUUUGUUGGGUUUAAAGGGUACGUAGGUUGGUUUUCAAGUCAGCGGUGGAAGUUUGUGGCUCAAACCGAAACUUGCUGUUGAAACUGGAAGACUUGAGUGUAUGUGAGGUAGGCGGAAGGCGUGGUGUAGCGGUGAAAUGCAUAGAUAUAAGGAAGAACACCGGUUGCGAAGGCAGCUUCCUAGGCUAUAACUGACGCUGAGGCACGAAAGCGUGGGGAUCAAAUAGGAUUAGAUACCCGUGUAGUC